This 472-nucleotide ribosomal RNA is filed under the name uncultured bacterium. RNAcentral's name for it is "bacterial SSU rRNA". It matches the Rfam family "Bacterial small subunit ribosomal RNA", at positions 355 to 825 of the family's 1533-position model. The record is from RNAcentral.
UGGGGAAUUUUUCGCAAUGGGCGCAAGCCUGACGAAGCAACGCCGCGUGGAGGAUGAAGGUCUUCGGAUUGUAAACUCCUGUCGACCGGGACGAAUGCACUCGACCUAAUACGUCGGAAUGUUGACGGUACCGGUGGAGGAAGCCACGGCUAACUCUGUGCCAGCAGCCGCGGUAAUACAGAGGUGGCAAGCGUUGUUCGGAAUUACUGGGCGUAAAGGGCGCGUAGGCGGCCCCAUAAGUCUCGUGUGAAAGCCCUCGGCUUAACUGAGGAUCUGCACGGGAUACUGUGGGGCUCGAGUUCGGGAGAGGAAAGCGGAAUUCCGGGUGUAGCGGUGAAAUGCGUAGAUAUCCGGAGGAACACCAGUGGCGAAGGCGGCUUUCUGGACCGACACUGACGCUGAGGCGCGAAAGCUAGGGGAGCAAACGGGAUUAGAUACCCCAGUAGUCCCUGAGCGGGCUGGCAAGGCGCAU